Gekko japonicus is the source of this 254-nucleotide long non-coding RNA. RefSeq lists it as uncharacterized. NCBI's taxonomy places the organism in Eukaryota, Metazoa, Chordata, Lepidosauria, Squamata, Gekkonidae. The record is from RefSeq and is a predicted model, not a curated record. The transcript has 4 exons.
GUCAGGCCGAGGAGAAGAGGCAGGCAGGACAGAUGUGGGCACCAUCCGUGGAGAAAGAAGCCACAGUCCCCGAGGCAGAAGGAGUUUCCAUGGAACAAGGGCAGGGGGCGCAGGCCGUGGAGCGUGCCCAAGAUGCCCUCUCCUGUGGAAUAGGCAGUGGGGAGAUGCCGUUGAGCCGUCGUCUUCUCAGAGGUGUGGAAACGGCUGCUGCCCCUCCAGUCCAGGGCCCCUUUUCCUUUGAGGAGGUGGCCGUG